ACUCUAAGCGGUGGAUCACUCGGCUCAUGGGUCGAUGAAGAACGCAGCAAACUCGUGCGUCAUCGUGUGAACUGCAGGACACAUGAACAUCGACAUUUUGAACGCAUAUCGCAGUCCAUGCUGUUAUGUACUUUAAUUAAUUUUAUAGUGCUGCUUGGACUACAUAUGGUUGAGGGUUGUAAGACUAUGCUAAUUAAGUUGCUUAUAAAUUUUUAUAAGCAUAUGGUAUAUUAUUGGAUAAAUAUAAUAAUUUUUAUUCAUAAUAUUAAAAAAUAAAUGAAAAACAUUAUCUCACAUUUGAAUGUGAAAAACGAAGAGAAAUAUUUUCUUUUUCAAUCAAAUAAUACUGAGAAAUGUCUAGCAUAAAAAAUUGAAAUAUUUUUCAUCUAGAAUUGUCUCUUAUUAAUGAUUCGGAAAUAGAAAAAUCUUGGUUAUGUUAUUAUUCUUCGUUGGUUCGUUAAAAAUGGAUAAAUAAAAACUUUGCAUACAAGAAUUAAUAAAAAUGUUAUAACGAAUUUAAUUAAAUGUUUUAUCAUUAUAUAUAAAGAAUUUAUGGCAAGAUAAAGUUAUAUACAACCUCAACUCAUAUGGGACUACCCCCUGAAUUUAAGCAUAUUAAUUAGGGGAGGAAAAGAAACUAACAAGGAUUUUCUUAGUAGCGGCGAGCGAAAAGAAAACAGUUCAGCACUAAGUCACUUUGUCUAUAUGGCAAAUGUGAGAUGCAGUGUAUGGAGCGUCAAUAUUCUAGUAUGAGAAAUUAACGAUUUAAGUCCUUCUUAAAUGAGGCCAUUUACCCAUAGAGGGUGCCAGGCCCGUAUAACGUUAAUGAUUACUAGAUGAUGUUUCCAAAGAGUCGUGUUGCUUGAUAGUGCAGCACUAAGUGGGUGGUAAACUCCAUCUAAAACUAAAUAUAACCAUGAGACCGAUAGUAAACAAGUACCGUGAGGGAAAGUUGAAAAGAACUCUGAAUAGAGAGUUAAACAGUACGUGAAACUGCUUAGAGGUUAAGCCCGAUGAACCUGAAUAUCCGUUAUGGAAAAUUCAUCAUUAAAAUUGUAAUAUUUAAAUAAUAUUAUGAGAAUAGUGUGCAUUUUUUCCAUAUAAGGACAUUGUAAUCUAUUAGCAUAUACCAAAUUUAUCAUAAAAUAUAACUUAUAGUUUAUUCCAAUUAAAUUGCUUGCAUUUUAACACAGAAUAAAUGUUAUUAAUUUGAUAAAGUGCUGAUAGAUUUAUAUGAUUACAGUGCGUUAAUUUUUCGGAAUUAUAUAAUGGCAUAAUUAUCAUUGAUUUUUGUGUUUAUUAUAUGCACUUGUAUGAUUAACAAUGCGAAAGAUUCAGGAUACCUUCGGGACCCGUCUUGAAACACGGACCAAGGAGUCUAACAUAUGUGCAAGUUAUUGGGAUAUAAACCUAAUAGCGUAAUUAACUUGACUAAUAAUGGGAUUAGUUUUUUAGCUAUUUAUAGCUAAUUAACACAAUCCCGGGGCGUUCUAUAUAGUUAUGUAUAAUGUAUAUUUAUAUUAUUUAUGCCUCUAACUGGAACGUACCUUGAGCAUAUAUGCUGUGACCCGAAAGAUGGUGAACUAUACUUGAUCAGGUUGAAGUCAGGGGAAACCCUGAUGGAAGACCGAAACAGUUCUGACGUGCAAAUCGAUUGUCAGAAUUGAGUAUAGGGGCGAAAGACCAAUCGAACCAUCUAGUAGCUGGUUCCUUCCGAAGUUUCCCUCAGGAUAGCUGGUGCAUUUUAAUAUUAUAUAAAAUAAUCUUAUCUGGUAAAGCGAAUGAUUAGAGGCCUUAGGGUCGAAACGAUCUUAACCUAUUCUCAAACUUUAAAUGGGUAAGAACCUUAACUUUCUUGAUAUGAAGUUCAAGGUUAUGAUAUAAUGUGCCCAGUGGGCCACUUUUGGUAAGCAGAACUGGCGCUGUGGGAUGAACCAAACGUAAUGUUACGGUGCCCAAAUUAACAACUCAUGCAGAUACCAUGAAAGGCGUUGGUUGCUUAAAACAGCAGGACGGUGAUCAUGGAAGUCGAAAUCCGCUAAGGAGUGUGUAACAACUCACCUGCCGAAGCAACUAGCCCUUAAAAUGGAUGGCGCUUAAGUUGUAUACCUAUACAUUACCGCUAAAGUAGAUGAUUUAUAUUACUUGUGAUAUAAAUUUUGAAACUUUAGUGAGUAGGAAGGUACAAUGGUAUGCGUAGAAGUGUUUGGCGUAAGCCUGCAUGGAGCUGCCAUUGGUACAGAUCUUGGUGGUAGUAGCAAAUAAUCGAAUGAGACCUUGGAGGACUGAAGUGGAGAAGGGUUUCGUGUGAACAGUGGUUGAUCACGAGUUAGUCGGUCCUAAGUUCAAGGCGAAAGCCGAAAAUUUUCAAGUAAAACAAAAAUGCCUAACUAUAUAAACAAAGCGAAUUAUAAUACACUUGAAUAAUUUUGAACGAAAGGGAAUACGGUUCCAAUUCCGUAACCUGUUGAGUAUCCGUUUGUUAUUAAAUAUGGGCCUCGUGCUCAUCCUGGCAACAGGAACGACCAUAAAGAAGCCGUCGAGAGAUAUCGGAAGAGUUUUCUUUUCUGUUUUAUAGCCGUACUACCAUGGAAGUCUUUCGCAGAGAGAUAUGGUAGAUGGGCUAGAAGAGCAUGACAUAUACUGUUGUGUCGAUAUUUUCUCCUCGGACCUUGAAAAUUUAUGGUGGGGACACGCAAACUUCUCAACAGGCCGUACCAAUAUCCGCAGCUGGUCUCCAAGGUGAAGAGUCUCUAGUCGAUAGAAUAAUGUAGGUAAGGGAAGUCGGCAAAUUAGAUCCGUAACUUCGGGAUAAGGAUUGGCUCUGAAGAUUGAGAUAGUCGGGCUUGAUUGGGAAACAAUAACAUGGUUUAUGUGCUCGUUCUGGGUAAAUAGAGUUUCUAGCAUUUAUGUUAGUUACUUGUUCCCCGGAUAGUUUAGUUACGUAGCCAAUUGUGGAACUUUCUUGCUAAAAUUUUUAAGAAUACUAUUUGGGUUAAACCAAUUAGUUCUUAUUAAUUAUAACGAUUAUCAAUUAACAAUCAAUUCAGAACUGGCACGGACUUGGGGAAUCCGACUGUCUAAUUAAAACAAAGCAUUGUGAUGGCCCUAGCGGGUGUUGACACAAUGUGAUUUCUGCCCAGUGCUCUGAAUGUCAAAGUGAAGAAAUUCAAGUAAGCGCGGGUCAACGGCGGGAGUAACUAUGACUCUCUUAAGGUAGCCAAAUGCCUCGUCAUCUAAUUAGUGACGCGCAUGAAUGGAUUAACGACGGACGUGUUUUCGUUGC
Molecule: ribosomal RNA, 3286 nt
Filed under: Drosophila melanogaster (fruit fly)
Lineage: Eukaryota; Metazoa; Arthropoda; Insecta; Diptera; Drosophilidae
Description: eukaryotic LSU rRNA
Rfam family: Eukaryotic large subunit ribosomal RNA (bases 574-3286)
Source: RNAcentral